UCGAUAUAAUAAUGAGCAGAAUUGAUGGAGAUAUCAAGGAUAUUACUUAAAUUAAACAAUAAAUAAUACAGAUUAUUAAAACAAAAGAACAUUGAACAAAUAACAAGCAAACCCGAUCAUUUCGGGAAGCAUACAUCAAAUUUUGGCUGAGGAAACGGAGUUGCCAAAAAAAGGCCAAAAAGGAAUAAAAAUCAUGGAAUUAAAUGGCGAAAAUGACUUAAUAGUUAAAAUUAGUAGUAGGUCGGAGGAGGAGAUGCUGAUGGGGGUGGAGGUGAAGCAUAGGUGGCGGAUUUCUCGUACUUCUCAGGCGGUGCUGGUGACACAUAGGUAGGAGUUUGCUUGUAAUAGUUUGUUGGUGGUGGAGGUGAGUAAUAAGAUGGUGAUUUUUCAUAGGUCUUUGGUAGAGAUGGCAAGUUGUAAGUUAUAGGUGGUUGCUCGUAGUAUUUUGGUGGAGGUGGAGGAGAUUUAUAAGAAGGUGUAGAUCCUUUGUAGUAUGGAGGAGGUGGAGAUUUAUAAGAAGAUAGUGAUUGCUCAUAGUAUUUUGGUGGGGAUGGAGAUGACUUGUAAUAAGGUGAUUGCUUUAUAGUAUGGUGGAGGUGGAGAUUUGUAAGAAGAUGGUGACUGCUCAUUGUAUGUUGGAGGAGGUGGGGGUGAAUUAUAGUACGAAGGUGAUUUCUCAUAAUAAGUUGGCGGUGGUGGAGAUUUAUAGUAAACUGGGGACUUGUAAUUUUUUUUUGGUGCCGGUAACUUAUAAUAUUUAGAAGGAGCAGGUGAUUUAUAGUAUUUUGUUGCGGAUGGUGACGUGUAGUACUUUGCAGGUGAUGGCGCUUUGUAGUACUUUGCAGGUGAUGGUGACUUGUAGUAGUUCAAUGAAGGAGCUGGUGACUUGUAGUAUUUUGAAGGAGCUGAUGACUUGUAGUAUUUUGCAGGAGCUGGGGACUUGUAGUAUUUUAUGGGAACUGGCGAUUUGUAGUAUUUUACAAGAGCUGGCACCUUGUAGUAUUUUGCGGGAACUGGCGAUUUGUAAUAUUUUGCGGAAGCUGGAGAUUUGAAAUAUUUUACAGGAGUUGGCCACUUGUAAUAGUGCUUUACGCUGGCGAUUUGUAGUGUUUUACAAGAGCUGGCACCUUGUAGUAUUUUGCGGGAACUGGCGAUUUGUAAUAUUUUGCGGGAACUGGAGAUUUGUAAUAUUUUACGGGAGCUGGCGACUUGUAAUAGUGCUUUACAGGAAGAGGUGACUUAUAGUAAGGAAUAGGUACAUGAUACUUGGAUGGAGAUGGAGAUUUGUAAUACUUCUUAGAGGUGUAAGAAGGUGAGGGAGAAGCAUACCCAUAAGAGUAAUCAGCAACGACAGAGCUGGCUAUAAAGCAAAUUGCCAAAGCAACUGCAAGUAAAGGCCAUUGUCCCAGCUUCCCUAUGCUUGUCAUUUUGCUUAUGAUACAACCAAUAUUUGGAGAAAGAAUGAAAAGAACUUAAACUUGACUUGCAUAUUGAGUAGUGAGCAUAUUUGGAGAAGAAUGAAAAGAACUUAAACUUGACUUGGAUAUUGAGUAGGGAGCUCUGGCUUUUAUAUAGGAACAUAAUAUUAUCAUUUUAGGGUUGUGUUAUUGGGCAUCCACUAAGAUUAUAGCUAAGUCAAAAUAUGGACUUCAUCUUUUCUAGAAUUAGUGGUAGGCAUUAUCUCCAGUCGAGUAGAAAACUCUGGUUUUUAUAUUUCAGUGAGAUAUCUUUAUUAAUUAGGACUAACAUUUAUGUAAUUGUUCUUGGUUAGCCACAAAGAUUAUAAAGCAAAGGCCAAAUAAAUAAGGGCCUUUUCACUUUUAAUCUGCCAAAAAUUAUUUAUAUUUAGUAGCCGAAAAAAUAUAUAAAUUUUUUUAUGAUUUUUAUUUAUAACAUAUAGAAUUUAUAUAUACAUAUAAAAUAUAUAUAUUUUUCGGCUAUUAUUUUGAGAGCUGCUAUAGAGUAUAAUUUUCUAAUAAAUAAUAAGCCAGUACUUAAUGGUUAGCUUUUUUCUGUUGACUGGAAAACAAUUUAGAGAUAAAUAUUAAAAAUGGAGAAAACAAUAAGGAUGCCACGACUUGCAUCCCAUUAGCGAAGAUUAAGUUGACUUUUACAAAUAAUUACGGUAUGCUAUUGAAUAUGCAGUUCAAAAACUAUCAGGAAAACCAGCAAAUACACACAUCAGAGUAUACCUUAAGGGGUCAUUUGAUUCAGUUAUAGAAUAUUCAAUGAGACUAUAAUUCUGGGAUAGGGUGGUUGAAGUAAGGUUGAGAAUGACGGUGUCCGUUUCCGACAACCAGUUUGAUUUCACGCCGGGUCGUAUUACUGCUGAAGCUAUACAUCUUGCUAGGAAGUUGGUUGAACGGUAGAGAGAUAGAAAGAAAUAACUGCACAUGGGGUUAUUAUGGGGUUACCCCAAGGUUUUGCACUCAUUCCGUUCCUAUUCGCCCUAGUGAUGGACGCUUUAUCACAUCACAUUCAAGAGGAUGGGCCAUGGUGCAUGCUAUUUACAGAGACAUAGUUUUGAUUGAUGAGUCACGAACCAGUGUUAACGAGAGGCUGGAGGUUUAGAGGCAUGCUCUUAAAUCUAAGUUUUUCAAGCUUAGCACGACAAGACGAAAUACCCGGAGUGUAUGUUCACCGCUGAACAGAGGGAAGUGGGUGUGAAUGUGAGGCUUGAAUCCCAGGUCAUCCCGAGUAGAGACAUCAUCAAGUACCUUGGGUCGGUUAUCCGNNNNNNNNNNNNNNNNNNNNNNNNNNNNNNNNNNNNNNNNNNNNNNNNNNNNNNNNNNNNNNNNNNNNNNNNNNNNNNNNNNNNNNNNNNNNNNNNNNNNNNNNNNNNNNNNNNNNNNNNNNNNNNNNNNNNGGGGGGGGGGGGGGGGAAGAUCGACAAGGAUGUUACACACCGUAUUGGGUAGAAUUGAUAAAGUGGAGGUUAGCAAAUGGAGUAUUGUGUGACAAGAGAGUGCCACUGAUACUCAAACGUAAGUUCAAUAAAGCGGUGGUUAGGCCGGCCAUGAUAUAUGGGGCAGAGUGUUGGCUAGUUAAUAAAUCACAUACCCAGAAGAUGAAGGUAGCAUAAAUGAGGAUGUUGAGGUAGAUGUGCGGGCAUAUUAGGAUUGAUAAGAUUCGGAAUUAUGAUAUUUGGGAGAGGUGUGCGUAGCUCCCAUUGAUGACAAGAUGUGGGAAGUAAGGCUCAGAUGGUUCCGGCAUGUUCAGAGGAAAAGCCCAGAUGCUCCGGUAAGGAGGUGCGAACGACUGGUUGUGGAGGGCACGAGAAGAGGUAGGGGCGGCCUAAGAAGCAUUAGGGGGAGGUGAUUAGGAAGGAGAUGACGAGUCUUCAGAUUUACGAGGACAUGGCACUUGAUAGAAAUAUGUGGAGGUUGAGUAUGAGGGUUGCACGUUAAGAGGUAGUCGAGUCUUGUCUUAUGCCAUAACUUUGUGUGACUAGUUUGGUAGGGAUACUAUUUUGCUUUUGGUUUGUAUCAUUCUUCUUAAUUGCAUGUUGUUUCUAUUUUUUGUAUUUUUUCACAUUAUAUAUGUGGUGUUACUAAUAUUAUCUUCUUUUGUAUUUUUGUCUUCUUGAGCCGAGGAUCUUUCGAACCACAACUAGAUCAUAAUUUUUUUAAUAUUUGAGAGAGCUUCUAUUGUUAAAAAUUGUAGUGAGAUAGAAUUGAACUCACAACCUAUUCUAACUUAAGAGUCUAUUAAAACAAUGGAUUAAGGUUAUUUCUUAUUGAGUAAUAUGAUAAUUAAUAUUAUUUACUAUGUGCUCUUCUAUAAAUAUCGACACCAUUUACGAAAAAUCAUACGUACGCCCCUACAUUUGGUAUGAAUACUAUUUCGGUAUUAGCUUAUAUCCACAUUCAAAUAGGAGAUAACUAUUCACAAAUUUUAUACACGGAUUAAUAUCUUUAUCAUGUUAACCAAAUGACCCCUAAAUGUAUCGGUAUGAGUGUAUUGAGAAAAUUUGAGUUUACAUAAUAAAGUGGAAUAAAGAUGACGUCUCAAGGACACGUAGACUGAUAAAAAAUUUUCAACUGGCAAAGAGAUACGAGUUGCAACAGAUACGAGCAAAGACUGAGGAAGAGGCACGGGUAGUUAUUCAAAUGACUCAGCGCCCGUACCUAUUUAAGUCCUUGAAGUCCGAGAAUCAAAGGAAAUGAGUCUGAUAAUAUAAAAGAAUACAGAUAUAGCAUUUAAUGUUGAAUACAUUAGGGAAUCUGUAUUAAUAUAAUUAUUAUGUAACGUAGCAUUCAAUGUCUUUAAUUACUCAUAAUAUCCUCAUUAUGGCAUAGGCAAAAUGUUUUAAAGGGAGAUAAUUGAUCUAUUGUUAGGACACGAAUUACUAUCUGAUUAUACAUUGGUUUACUUGAUUCUAAUUAUCUUAACUCUAGCCAACUUACUUUCUUUUAUACAUUCUUUCGAUUAUCAGUAACCCAUAUUCUUCUAAAUUAUCGCUUUGACUAAAAUCUCUUUUUUCUUGUUAAACAAAUUGGUUUCGUUACCGCGAAUAUGAUAAUCUAUUCUCUUUUAACUUAACUUUCCUUGCUGCAUCCACCAUUUCGAACAACAAGGAAAACAUUCAAGGAAACCAAGAAAACUAAUAACUUCAGGGAGACCCACAUGAUAAUAACGCAAUGAUUACUUCUCCACGAGGCUCUCCAUGUCGAUCUCGUGAAGGCACUCCUAAUGGAUCUCAUACAAAUGGACAGGCUCAACUUAAAAAUGUUUAAGCUAUGGAUGAGGCUUUGCAAAAACUUAUUGCCUCACAGGUAAAUAAAGCUCUUCAGGAUAUAUUAGCCAGUUUCUUGUUGCACCAUCCACACCUACUCCAAAUAAUAAUACUUUGGAGAACCCUCAUUCCGGGCUUGUUAAUUCAGGUAAUGGUGGAACCCCCAGCAAAUCAUAGGAAGGAAAACCAGGUAACUUAGUUAAUUCUGAUUUGAAAAAUUCAGUACUAACAUUGCAUAAACAGCUCAAGGAGUGAAGUGACCGCAUAUCGCAAAUACCCUAUGUACUGCCCCUAUUCAAAGGGGUAGAUAUGGAUAAAUAUUCACAAUAACCGUGGAAGCUAUGUUUUGCUCCCCUCCCAAUUCCAAAUAAAUUCAAAAUGCCUGAUAUUCCAAAAUACGAUGGAACAAUAGACCCACAUGAUUACAUGACUGCAUUCACGACAGGCGUAAAAGGAAAUGAUUUGACAAAGCAGGAGAUUGAAUCAGUAUUGUCAAAAACUUUGGAGAAACACUCACCAAGUAUGCAUUAACAUGGUAUUCUCUUUUACCCAAAAAUUCUAUAAAUUCUUUUGAUGAGCUUUCAUAUUCUCUCAUCAAAGCAUACUCAGGAGUUCAAAAAUUUGAAAAAGAGGAUGGAAGAUAUUUUCAAUAUCAAGCAAGGGGACUCAAAAUUACUUAGGGAGUUCGUAGAUAGAUUCCAACGUAAAAGAACAAUCUUGCCCCGUGUACUUAAUAAUUGGGCCGCUAUAGCUUUCACAAGUAAUUUGAGAGAAAAAAGGUCAGAAGCUACAAGGCGACUCAAGGAAAGCCUUUGUGAAUUCCCAGCUAUAACAUGGAAUAACAUUUACAACAGGUAUAGUACGAAGUUGAGAAUAGAAGAAGAUAUCGUUCCUCGAUUUCAAAAAAAGGAAAAAGGGUAGCGCGAGAAGGGCGAAAACCGAAAAGAGGUCCGGUAAAAAUAGGUACGAGCCAUACAUGGGAUUUGUGGGAAAAGACUCACGGUCAAAAUAGGACUAUCAAAGGUAUAAUCCCAGAUCAAGGAAUAGAGAGUUAGGAUCUUCAUCAAGAUUUGGGAAUUAUCGAAACACCCAAGAGUCACGAGAUGAGGAUAGAGCGGUUACAAUUUCAAUGCAAGCACGUACGAACUCGUAGCUGCUUUAAGAAACAUGGGUAACAAGGUAUGAUGGCCAAAAGAGAUGAGAUCGAAUCCAAUCAGAGGCAACUCUGACCAUUGGUGCGAGUUUCAUAAUGAUCACGGGAACAAGAUGGCAGAAUGCAGGUUUUUAUAAAGUGAAGUUGAUCAUCGAUUAAAACAGGGGUACCCCACCGAGUUAUUCAGUGAGAAAGGUAAACAAGCUUAUAUGAAGAAUAGGAGGAGCCUCCAAAAUCACCUUCACCCAAAAAGACCGUCAAUGUCGUAAGCGGAGGGGAAGAUAUCAACGGUGUGACAUACAAGACAUCCAAUAAAGUUUCUAAGGUCACCAUUACCCACAUAAAGCGGGUGCGACAUGUCUUAGAAGAAGAAAGUAUUACCUUUGAUGAUGCAAAUGCGGGUGGCGUAUUAUCUCCACAUAACGAUGUACCGGUAAUAACUCUACUUGUACAUGAUACUAAUGUACAACGAGUUUUGAUUGAUCCAGGAAGUUCUGUAAAUAUUAUCCUACUAAGGGUACAGUACGUGAAAUGCAAGCUAAUGAUAAUUUAGUACCAAAGGCGCAUACUCUGUCUGGAUUUGACAAUUCCAGCAUCGUAAAAAAAAGGAGAGGCAAUACUUACUACUUUCGCAGAAGGUGUAAUCAAAGAUACUAAGUUUCAGGUAGUAGAUAUUGAGAUGUCCUAUAAUAUGAUCCUUGGGAAACCAUGGAUUGACGAGAUGGAUUUUUUUCCAUCAACCUUACAUCAAAUUAUUAAACUCCCAUCAACAUGGGGAAUAUGUCAAAUCCGUGGGGAUCAACAUACAUUUAGAAGCAUCAAUUCUGUAGCAGAUUCAAGUACAAGAAAUGAAGAAAUAUUGCAACUGCAGAAUCGAAUUGAGGAAAUCACAACAUAAACCUCCAAUUGACAAGAGCAUAUUGAUGUGGACUCAAGGGCAGACACCAUUCAACAGCCAGAGGGAAAUGAAAAUACCAAAUUAACGAUUGAAGAAUUAGAAGUCGUAGUAUUAUUCGAACAAUGGCCUGAAAGGAAAGUUUAUGUGGGAGCCAAUCUGAGCCCAGAUAUGAAAAUUAUGUUAAUUGGAUUCUUAAAAGCUAGCGUGGAUUGUUUUUCUUGGUCCCACUCUGAUAUGACAGGAAUACCACCGGAGGUAAUGACUGACAAGUUAAACGAAGACCCAUUUUAUUCUCAUAUCAAACAAAAGAAGAGAAAGCAAGGAACUUUCCAAAAUCAAGUGAUUCAAGAUGAGGUUCAAAAAUUACUAAAUAUUGGGUCUAUCCGCGAGGUAAAGUAUCAUAAUUAGUUAGCUAAUACUGUUGUCGUACCAAAAGAAUGGUAAGUGGCGAGUUUGUGUAGAAUACACAGAUCUUAAUAAAGCAUGUCCUAAAGAUUCUUUUUCAUUACCACAUAUAGAUCAACUAAUUGAUGCUACUGCAGGGCAUGUGCUAAUAAGUUUUUUAGAUGCAUAUUCAGGGUACAAUUAGAUCAAAAUGGAUCCAGUGGAUGAUGAAAAAACUUCAUUCAUACCAAGCAGGGGGACUUACUUUUAUAAAGUAAUGCCAUUUGGUCUGAAAAAUGCCGGUGCAACAUAUCAAAGGUUGGUCACUAAAAUGUUUCAAGAAUAUUUGGGAAAAAACAUAGAGGCUUAUAUAGAUGAUAUGCUAAUUAAAACUUAGCAUUCAAGGUAUCAUAUAUCUCAUUUAUCUGAUACAUUUCAAAUUCUGUGCAAAUUUAACAUGAAGUUAAAUCCCGAGAAAUGUGCAUUUGGCGUCGCAUCAAGUAAGUUUUUAGGUUUUCUUGUUUCUAACCAUGGUAUUGAAAUGAAUCCCGCACAGAUUAAGGCCAUUGAAGAAAUCCCUGACAUGAUUUCAAGCAAAAAAAAAGUUCAGAGAUUAACAGGAAGAAUUGCAGCCUUGGGAAGAUUCAUUUCUAAAUCAUCGUAAAAGUGUUGUAUAUUCUUCUCACCUCUAAAAGAGCAAGAUUAUUUUGAAUGGAAUGAGGAAUGUUAGCAGGCACUUAGAAAUUUAAAAACAUACUUAUCAAAUACACCGUUGCUCGCAAAACGAAAGGUUGGGGAAAGAUUACUUAUUUACCUUGUUGUUUCAGAAAUAGCAGUAAGUGUUGUUUUAGUCCGAGAAGAACAAAGUAAAGAAUACCCCAUCUAUUAUGUUAGAAAAUCUUUGUUAGAUACAGAGACAUGGUAUCCGCAAUUGGAAAAACUUGCAUUUGCAUUUAUCAUGGCAUCUAGGAAGUUAAGACCUUAUUUUCAGUGUCAUCCUAUUGUUGUAGUAAUUGCUUACCUGUUACGUAAUAUAUUACAUAAGCAUGAAUUGUCGGGAAAGUUAGCUAAGAGGGAUGUUGAAUUGAGAGAAUAUUAUAUCAGUUACCAACCUAGAACCGCUAUAAAAUUUCAGGUAUUAGCGGAUUUCGUGGCUGAUUUUAGCCAAGGGAUGCAAUUAGAAGAAAACAAAGAAUUGCAGGUGUUCAAUGGAGCUAACCCAGGGACCUAGACCUUAUUCACUAAUGGUUCAUCCAAUGUAAAAGUUGCACGUUUUGGGAUCGUUUUGGCACCAACUAUGGGUGAAACCAUUCGAAAAGCUAUCAAAUGUAAUUCUAUAAUUAACAGUGAGGCAGAAUAUGAGGUUGUGAUUGCAGGUUUAGAGCUGGCACAAGAACUCGGCAUAAAUUAGAUUGUAAUCAAAAGCUAUUCACAACUCGUGGUUAAUUAAAUGUUGGGGAGUUAUGCAGCCGAAGAGGCGAGGAUACAUCAGUAUUUAGAAAAGGUACGGGAAUUGAUAAUGCAAUUUAAAACCUAGAAAGUUGCACAAAUACCAAGGGAUGAAAAUGUUUAAGCAGACGCUCUAGCUAAUCUCGCAUAUGUACUGUGGAGUUAUAUAGCCGGAGAGGCGAGGAUGCAGCAGUAUUUAGAAAAGGUACGGGAAUUGAUAAUGCAAUUUAAAACCGAGAAAGUUGCACAAAUACCAUGGGACGAAAAUGUUUGAGCGGACACUCUAGCUAAUCUCGCAUAUGUAGCUGACAUGGAAAACGAUGCAAACACUUCAGUUAUUCAUUUAUUUUAUUCAGCCCUUGACCUGGAUAAGAAUGAGGUAAGUUUUAAUAACUUUACUUGGGAUUGGAGGAAUGAGAUUGUUGUUUUUUUUGCAGUAUGGUACUGUCCCUGAUGAUAAAAAGAAGCACAUGCACUUCAAAAAAGGGAUGCUCCGUACUGCUUAAAGCAAAAAAAUCUUUAUCAUAAAAUGAUCGGUGAUCCCUUAGCAAGAUGCCUCGGACCUUCUCAAACAGAGUAGGUAAUGAGAGAAAUACACAAAGGACAUUAUGGAAAUCAUGCAGGUGGAAGAUUCCCGGUAAGAACCUUAAUUAGGAAAGGUUAUUACAGGCCUAAAAUAGAAUAGAAAGCAGAAAGUUUCGUGGCUAAAUGUGACAAAUGGCAAAGGUAUGGUAACAAUAUGCAUAGACCUGCGGAGUUAUUACAUCUAGUCAUUUCACUGUGUCCAUUUAUGAAAUGGGGAAUGGAUAUCGUGGGUCCAUUACCACAAGCAAAAGGACAUUCAAAGUUUUUUCACGUACUCACUGAUUAUUUUACUAAAUGGGUAGCCGCAAGAGAAUUAAAAUAGGUGCAAGAAAAGGAAGUCAAAGAAUAUAUUUGGUGGAAUAUUAUAUGCUAACUCGGUGUACCAAAGGAGAUCGUAUGUGAUGAUGGCCUUCAGUUUAUAGGAGCUCAAAUCACGGAAUUCUUUCAAAGUUGGUAGAUUAAAAGGAUUACAUCUACACCUUAUCAUCCGAUGGGUAGUGGGCAAGCAGAAUCACUAAACAAAGUCAUUAUCAACAAUUUAAAGAAGCGCUUAGAGGAAUAAAAAUGUAACUAGCCUGAAUUGUUGCCUUGAGUUUCAUGGGCAUAUCGCACAACAACAAAAAUGAGUAUAGGAGAAAAACCAUUUUCAUUGGUUUAUGGUGCUGAAGCUUUAAUUCUAGUUGAUAUAGGAUAACCGAGUGCACGGUUCAAACAUGCCAUAGAAAAAUCUAAUGACGAGGAGAUGCGGGUCAACCUUGAUUUAUUCGAAGGAAGGAGAGAAGUUGCACUAAUAAGAAUGGCAGCACAAAAACAAUUCAUAGAACGAUAUUACCACCGAAAAUCACGCCUCAAAUUCUUCAAAAUUUAGGACUUCAUGCUCAAAAGGUUAUUCAAUCUAGAAAGACAGCGAACGCGGGUAAAUUAAGCCCAACAUGGGAAGGACCCUAUAGAGUUCGUGAUAUUGAAGGAAUAAGAGCAUAUGAACUGGAGACAAUAGAUGGAAAGAUACUACCUUCACAUUGGAAUGUUGUUCAUCUGAAGAGAUACUAUUUCUAAGGAAUACCCACGGUCAGGUAUCCAUGUUUUAAAUUUAAUUUUUGAAUUGAAUUGUUAAAAUUUUACUAACAAUUUUAGAUGAUAGGCAAAAAGUUAACCCGUACUAAUUGAUGAGUUACGACUUGUAAGGCACAUAGAAUAAACUAAAAUUUCUAGCCUAGGGUUACAAUUAUUCUGAUAGAAAUACAAACAGGUUGAGCAGUCUUCAUCAAUAAUUGUACCUCCGAGUCCCGUGAAUUUUUCAUUUUCAAGAAAUGACCAAAUGAGAGGAACAAUCAAGUGUUCGAGGCUUCAUACUUCAACGCUCAAACACUUGGGGACUACAUAAUUUACACAUGCAUGUGUAUAAAGAAGACAAAGAAGAUUGAGAAAAAUCAAAGACCAAGCCUGAAAAACUCAAGUGCACAGAAAAAAUCACGAAGUCACGAGCUAGGACAAAUAAAAACCUUACUAUAGUUAGGGUAAAGGCUAUGUAGUGAAAUGGGUCAUAAGGAAAAACCUCCUAUUUAUUAUAUGUACUAAAAUGGGUUAUGAGGAAAAACCUUGUGUAUACUAUUCUUCUUUUCUAAAAUUUGUUACAAGAAAAACAGUGAAGAGAAAGUUAUAGAUGUAAUUUAAAUACAUGUAAAGUAUUAUUCAAAACUAGACAAGGUUCAAAGAAACAUGUGUGUUCCUAUUUCUUUUAUCGUAUGUUAAUACCAUUAUGAAGUUGAGACGUCUUCUUCAUUAAGUGUCGAAAUAUAAAAGGUCCUCUUUUAAAAACUUAUAUUUAAAUUAAUUAGUCAUGAGGAUAAUAGAAGCAUUUUUGAAGAAAAAAAUGCAAAAUAUUCUGUAAUUCCUUAAGAAUAAAGACAAGAAUAAAAUAAACAUAAGUUCAAGAUAAUAACAUGAAAACUUCUUAAUAGUUACAAACUUAAGACUAUGUAUGAACUUAGUCGAAAAACUAUGAAUUGUUUAUACAGAUUGCCCCAUGAAAAGACUUGGGGACUUGCCUUUCCAAAAUCAACCAUCAAAUGAAGCCUAGUGUUUGAUUACAAUUUUCCAAAUAAAAAAACAAAGUCAUUCAAAUAACUAAGGUUGGUCACUGAGAAGUAGGAGGAACUGAAACAAGAGCAUCAAUAGCAACAGGCUCAGUUUGGGCGGGUGCAUCAACAGUUGUGGGUUCAACGUGACUUGCAGCAACAUGAUCGACUAGGCUUGAAAGAAUUGGGAUUCUGGAAUCGACUUCAAUGUUCAUAGAAGCUUCAGCCACGGGAGAAGGAAACUCUUGAUUUUGCUGAACUUUCUCAGUGGUUUCAUUGAUCUUAGCCAACUCAGAUUCCAAGUUGAAGUUUUCUUGGCUAGCUUCGAUUAGGGUAUCACGGCGGAAAUUCAAAAAUUCCCAACUCACCUCAAUAGCACAUUUAUCUUUAAGGGGAUCAUAAUCCCCUUUCCCAAUCAGAAAUCUCAUUAAUUAGCUUCUCAAUUUUAGCCAAGGCAGAGUUGUAAGAAGUUUGAAGAGAGGCAUGGGAGCUUUCUAAAGCAUGCACCUUAUGAGAAGAGACUCGAAGGUCUGCUUGUGCUUGAGUUAAACUUUGCACGAGCUCCCCAGCGUAAGUUUCUUUUUUUCUCAAGAGAGCCUUCAACUCUCUAUUUUUUUCACUAGACUUGGAUAGUUGUUCUGAGAAGGAAGAUUCAAGACGCUCUUUUUUCUUUUUCUGGCUGGCUUGAGAAAGCUUUUACAACUUCUAACUCUAAGGUUAAAUCCCGCACAUGUUGUUCCAAGGUACUCGUGCUCUCUUCUAAGAACUCCACAUCAAUUUGUAAGCUCUCGAACUGUUCCUUCCAGUUGCACGCAUCUAAUUGAGAAUCACGUGCUAACUGCUCCAAGAGGGGGAUUCUGUUCAUUUCUGUGCCCUAUAAGAUUGGCCUAAAAAAAAGAGGAAGGAUAAUAAGAAUCCCAAAGAUAGGGAAAUUACAAAGAAAAAAAGAGAAGGUGAAUACCUUCUAAGUGCAUGCACAAUAUCAUUCAUCAGAGUCAGGGAGCUAUGGCUCUCCAACUUGGCUUUUUCAAUUGGGCCAACUAAAGGCUCUAGCCAAACAUCCGCCUGACCUGACUUCCUCACAAGACUGCUCUCAACAGGAACUUCAAUGACAACCUUCUUAAUAGCAGCACUUCUACUUGAAGAACCCACUUCAGUAUGAUGAAUUAUUGGAGGAGGAAUUGUGAAGGAGGAGGAGUAGAAGAGGUAAAAACAGUCGAGGAAAGAACACAAAAAGCUAGCGUUGUCAAGGAAGGAAUCAGAGGCACGAGUGUUGAAAUAAAAAAGAAGCUAAUAGUGUUUCGUGUAAAACAUGCCCUAAACCUCCACUACCAAAGCCACUUAUAAAAAGUUGUUUAAUGGACUCACGAGUAUCAGUGGAAGUGACAUCAUCAUCUGAAGUUAUUACCAAGGCUUCUAUUGGCUCGGUGAGAGGAAUGGAAAGACGGGGAGACGCUUCAGCAUCAUCAUCAGAAAUGAUACGUCUUCGAGCCCGCGACCUUGUAACCAAAGAGCCCCCAUAUUCUUUUUCUUCUUCAGAAUCUUUUUCUUCAAUAGCUUUUCUUUUUGCUGAAGUGCCAAGACUAUUUCUUGAGCCCUUUCUAAAGAGAUAUAGGUUCUUAAAGAGAUGCGGGAAGCCGCAACUACCUAGGCAAUAACUCCCCGAAUAGCAAAUUAUUAUAAAAAGAAAGAUUGAAGUUAGAAUAAUAAAAAUAUAUAUACAUGAAAGAUGAAACAAAAUAAAAAUUAUUACCAUGAGUUUUUACUUUCCAACCAUAAUGGUUAGAAAGUGACUUCCAAGACCUACCAUUGGUGCGGUCUUCAACAGCUUGUCUACCCAAUUACGGAAAUUGGGAACAUCCUCCACAACUCCCAUGGUUGCUAAAAAAAAGUAAGAAAUGUUGAUAAACUUGAAGAAAAACGCACAAGAAGGAUACAAGACUUACGUGCAAAAUUCCACUUCUCAGGAAAGGGAACGUUUUCCUUUCCCGCUAAUCCAACAGUGGGGGGCAGCAACAAACCGGGCAUGCCCGCCAUAGUCUUUAUCAUCCUCAAGGCUCACCAAAACCCUCUUGCUCUUGGCUACUAGUGUAAAAAUACCAUUGCGAAAGAGCCUAGGGGAGUAAGGGUGAAUCAAGUGAGGGAAAGUAAAGGAAACACCGGGUGUAUUGGUCAAAUGCCUCAAAAAGGCAACAUCCCUCCAUAUGAUUGGGACAAUUUGACCCCAACUGACGUCGAAGAAACGAAAAAAAUUCAAGAAUGCCUGGGUCAAUAGCUGGUCUAAACCCUAAAGUGAAAGAGUAUGUAUAAACAAAAGAAACCCAGUUAAGUAAGAGGCGAUUCUUUGAUUUGGAUAGGGAUAAUAAUAGAAAAAUCACUACUCCAAUGAUAGUCUUUACGAACUAUAGAAAUCAAACCUUCAGUUUUUUGAGUGGGAUAGACAUCAUCACGAUCUAAAGAAGACACUUGAUUCCGAAAAGACUCUCUGUCAUGAUAAAAAGACAAUUAUGAAGGACUAUCUCUUUUACUAAAGGUUCAUGUAAUGGUUUAGAAGGUUCUUUACCCCUAGAAGAAGAUUUUUGAGAAAGAGAACCCAUGUUUCUAGAAGAGGGACCAGAACUAGGACAGGGCAUAGAAGAACAACCACCAGCAGGCCCAAAACUACGAAGCGUACCUCCCCUUCUACUCCUAAUGGGGGCAUUAGGAAAAGUAUCAACUAUGGAAACUCUCCUAGGGUUAGGGUUUGAUGAAUACAUAGCGAAGAAGGAUGAUACGAGGAAGAAAUAAGGAAAGAAGUUAUAUUUAUAUUGAUAAGCAACCGCCAAAGGAAAAAAAGGCAAUGAUGGAGGGGAUAUAAUAAUGAAAACUGAUGCUUCGUGUACAAUGGAGCCGUAAAAGAACUUUAAAAGGGGCUUCAAAACUGCAGGACUAAUGUGAAAGUGACACGUGUGAAGAGCAUUAAAUAGAAGUGACAAUUGAGAAAAUUGAGUUUGCAUAAUAAAGUGGAACAAAGAUGACGUGUCAAAGACACGUAGAGUGGUCAAAAAGUUACAAUUAGCAAAGAAAUACGAGCAAAGGCUAAGGAAGAAGCAUGGGCAGUUAUUCAAAUGACUCAGCGCCCGUACCUAUUUAAGUCCUUGAAGUCCUAGAAUCAAAGGGAAUAAAAAAGAGUACAGAUACAACAUUUAAUGCCGAAUACGUUAUGGAAUCUGUAUUAAAUAUAAUGAUUAUGUAACGUAGUAUUCAAUGUCUUUAAUUACACAUAAUAUCCUCAUUAGGGCAUAGGCAAAAUGCCUAUCUCCAAGGUAUCUAUAAAAGGGAGAUAUUUGAUCAACUGUGAGGAAACGAAAUACUAUCUGAAUAUACUUUGAUUUACUUGUUUCUGAUUAUCUUACUUCUAGCCAAAUUACUUUAUUAUAUAUAUUCUUUCGAUUAUCAGUAACCCGUGUUCUUCUAAAUUAUAGCUUUGACUAAAAUUUUAUUUUUUGGUUAAACAAUGAGAAUAACGUACAACCUGAAAUUGGACUAGGCACUCGUAAAACGGUUUGAGCCAGAUGUGGGAAAGUCUUGGCUCUUAAAAUUUGCGCUUCAAGCGCCCACAUGUACCCAUAAAAGGCAUCCGAGCCCAUCACAUGAGGCUCGUCCAAUUGAUUUUGUGCAAUCGAGUGUAAUUAGUUAUGUAAAUCCAUAAAUUCCUUAACCAAGCUGUCUAUAUUGACCAUAAAUCAUAAGUGAGAACAUUGCAAGCUUUGUCUUGUCUUUAAAACAUUAGGGGGUAAAGUUAACCUAUACCUAUAUUGGUGGAAGAAAGCAGACGCAGUCCAUGUUUUGUUAAACUUACCCAGACAACCAUUUAUUAUCGCGAGAGAUAACUUCAAAUAAUAGUAAGAAAAUGUUUCUUCAUUAAUUUACUUCACCUGAGGUACUCCAUUUAUUACCACGAGAGAGAGCUUCAAAUAAUUGUAAGAAAAUGUUUCUUGAUUCAAUUACUUCACCUGAGGUACAUAUCACAUUAUGUUUCCAAGAUUGUUUUUUUUUUCUUUUGAUGUUGGAUUGUUGAUGUUCCAUAUCUAUGCUAAUGUUUUCACAAUUAUAUUUAUUUAAUUAGAGUUUUAAAAGAUUAUUGUGUUUUUAGCAAUUUAUUUUUAACUAUCCUACUAUUUGUAGAUUUAUAAAUUAGUUAAAUUUAAAGAUUUAUGGGGCUUGCACACCAUGUCUGGAGCUACACUUCGCCUUGGGCGUCCAUCCUUCAAUACACUACGUCAAACCUUAAAGCGUUAACUUUGGAGCUUACACUUCGCCUUGGGCGUCCAUCCUUCAAUACACUACGUCAAACGUUAAAGCGUUAACUUUUGCCAUUUUUGUGCUUUUCAAUUUUUAUUUAAAUCUUUUCAACUAAGUUUGAAUAGAUGUUCAGGAGGUGUACUUAUGGACUAACGAAUGACUUCAGUCUAUUAAAGUACGCAGUAUUAGACAAAGAAGACGACACAAUUAAGAAAAGUAGAAUGCAAAGAAUCUCGAUAUAAUAAUGAGCAGAAUUGAUGGAGAUCUCAAGGAUGUUACUUAAAUUAAACAAUAAAUAAUACAGAUUAUUAAAACAAAAGAACAUUGAACACAUAAUAAGCAAACCCGAUCAUUUCGAGAAGCAUAUAUCAAAUUUUGGCUGAGGAAAUGGAGUUUGCCAAAAAAGGCCAAAAAGGAACACAUCAAAUUUUGGCUGAGGAAAUGAAGUUGCCAAAAAAAGGCCAAAAAGGAAUAAAAAUCAUGGAAUUAAAUGGCGAAAAUGACUGAAUAGUUAAAAUUAGUAGUAGGUCGGAGGAGGAGAUGAUGAUGGGGGUGGAGGUGAACCAUACGUGGCGGAUUGCUCGUACUUCUCAGGCGGUGCUGGUGACACAUAGGCAGGAGUUUGCUUAUAAUAGUUAGUUGGUGGUGGAGGUGAGUAAUAAGAUGGUGAUUUUUCAUAGGUCUUUGGUAGAGACGGCAAGUUGUAAGUUAUAGGUGGUUGCUCGUAGUAUUUUGGUGGAGGUGGAGGAGAUUUAUAAGAAGGUGUAGAUCCUUUGUAGUAUGGAGGAGGUGGAGAUUUAUAAGAAGAUAGUGAUUGCUCAUAGUAUUUUGGUGGGGAUGGAGAUGACUUGUAAUAAGGUGAUUGCUCAUAAUAUUUUGGAGGAGGUGGUGUAUGUUGGAGGAGGUGGGGGUGAAUUAUAGUACGAAGGUGAUUUCUCAUAAUAAGUUGGCGGUGGUGGAGAUUUAUAGUAAACUGGGGACUUGUAAUUUUUUUUUGGUGCCGGUAACUUAUAAUAUUUAGAAGGAGCAGGUGAUUUAUAGUAUUUUGUUGCGGAUGGUGACGUGUAGUACUUUGCAGGUGAUGGCGCUUUGUAGUACUUUGCAGGUGAUGGUGACUUGUAGUAGUUCAAUGAAGGAGCUGGUGACUUGUAGUAUUUUGAAGGAGCUGGUGACUUGUAGUAUUUUGCAGGAGCUGGGGACUUGUAGUAUUUUAUGGGAACUGGCGAUUUGUAGUGUUUUACAAGAGCUGGCACCUUGUAGUAUUUUGCGGGAACUGGCGAUUUGUAAUAUUUUGCACUGGCGAUUUGUAGUAUUUUACAAGAGCUGGCACCUUGUAGUAUUUUGCGGGAACUGGUGAUUUGUUAUAUUUUGCGGGAGCUGGAGAUUUGUAAUAUUUUACGGGAGCUGGCGACUUGUAAUAGUGCUUUACAGGAAGAGGUGACUUAUAGUAAGGAAUAGGUACAUGAUACUUGGAUGGAGAUGGAGAUUUGUAAUACUUCUUAGAGGUGUAAGAAGGUGAGGGAGAAGCAUACCCAUAAGAGUAAUCAGCAACGACAGAGCUGGCUAUAAAGCAAAUUGCCAAAGCAACUGCAAGUAAAGGCCAUUGUCCCAGCUUCCCUAUGCUUGUCAUUUUGCUUAUGAUACAACCAAUAUUUGGAGAAAGAAUGAAAAGAACUUAAACUUGACUUGCAUAUUGAGUAGGGAGCUCUGGCUUUUAUAUAGGAACAUAAUAUUAUCAUUUUAGGGUUGUGUUAUUGGGCAUCCACUAAGAUUAUAGCUAAUUCAAAAUAUGGACUUCAUCUUUUCUAGAAUUAGUGGUCGGAAUUUUCUCCAGUCGAGUAGAAAACUCUGGCUUUUAUAUUUCAGUGAGAUAUCUUUAUUAAUUAGGACUAACAUUUAUGUAAUUGUUCUUGGUUAGCCACAAAGAUUAUAUAGCAAAGGCCAAAUAAAUAAGGGCCUUUUCACUUUUAUUCUGUCAAAAAUUAUUUAUAUUUAAUAGCCGAAAAAAUUUAUAAAUUUUUUUGUGAUUUUUAUUUAUAACAUAUAGAAUUUAUAUAUACACAUAAAAUAUAUAUAUUUUCGACUAUUAUUUUGAAAGCUGUUAGAGUAUCAUUUUCUAAUAAAUACUAAGCCAGUACUUAAUGGUUAGCUUUUUUCUGGUGACUGGAAAACAAUUUAGAGAUAAAUAUUAAAAAUGGAGAAAACAAUAAGGAUGCCACGACUUGCAUCCCAUUAGCGUAAAUUAAGUUGACUUUUACAAAUAACUACGGUAUGCUAUUGAAUAUGCAGUUCAAAAACUAUCAGGAAAACCAGCAAAUACAAAAACCAGAGUAUACCUUAAGAGGUCAUUUGAUUCAGUUAUAGAAUAUUCAAUGAGACUAUAAUUCUGGGAUAGGAUGGUUGAAGUAAGGUUGAGAAUGACGGUGUCCGUUUCCGACAACCAGUUUGAUUUCACGCCGUGUCGUAUUACUGCUGAAGCUAUACAUCUUGCUAGGAAGUUGGCUGAACCAUAGAGAGAUAGAAAGAAAUACCUGCACAUGGGGUUAUUAUGGGGUUACCCCAAGGUUUUGCACUCAGUCCGUUCCUAUCCGCCCUAGUGAUGGACGCUUUAUCACAUCACAUUCAAGAGGAUGUGCCAUGGUGCAUGCUAUUUACUGAUAACAUAGUUUUGAUUGAUGAGUCACAAACCAGUGUUAACGAGAAGCUGGAGGUUUAAAGGCAUGCUCUUAAAUCUAAGUUUUUCAAGCUUAGCAGGAAAAGACGAAAUACCCGGAGUGUAUGUUCACGGCUGAACAGAGGGAAGUGGGUGUGAAUGUGAGGCUUGAAUCCCAGGUCAUCCCGAGUAGAGACAUCAUCAAGUACCUUGGGUCGGUUAUCCGGGGGAGGGGGGGGGGGAAGAUCGACAAGGNNNNNNNNNNNNNNNNNNNNNNNNNNNNNNNNNNNNNNNNNNNNNNNNNNNNNNNNNNNNNNNNNNNNNNNNNNNNNNNNNNNNNNNNNNNNNNNNNNNNNNNNNNNNNNNNNNNNNNNNNNNNCCAUAUUGGGUAGAAUUGAUAAAGUGGAGGUUAGCAUAUGGAGUAUUGUGUGACAAGAGAGUGCCACUGAUACUCAAAGGUAAGUUCUAUAAAGCGGUGCCGGCCAUGAUGUAUGGGGCAGAGUGUUGGCUAGUUAAGAAAUCACAUACCCAGAAGAUGAAGGUAGCAUAAAUGAGGAUGUUGAGAUAGAUGUGCGGGCAUAUUAGGAUGGAUAAGUUUCGGAAUAAUGAUAUUUGGAAGAGGUGUGCGUAGCUCCCAUUGAUGACAAGAUGUGGGAAGUAAGGCUCAGAUUGUUCCGGCAUGUUCAGAGGGAAAGCCCAGAUGCUACGGUAAGGAGGUGCGAACGACUGGUUGUGGAGGGCACGAGAAGAGGUAGGGGCGGCCUAAGAAGCAUUAGGGGGAGGUAGGAAGGAUAUGAAGAGUCUUCAGAUUUACGAGGAAAUGACACUUGAUAGAAAUAUAUGGAGGUUGAGUAUGAGGAUUGCACGUUAGGAGGUAGUCGAGUCUUGUCUUAUGUCAUAACUUUGUGUUACUAGUUUGGUAGGGAUACUAUUUUGCUUUUGGUUUGUAUCAUUCUUCUUGAUUGCAUGUUGUUUCUAUUUUUCGUAUUUUUUCACAUUAUAUCUGUGGUGUUACUAAUAUUAUCUUCUUUUGUAUUUUUGUCUUCUUGAGCAGAGAAUCUUUCGAACCACAACUAGAUCAUAAUUUUUUUAAUAGAGCUUCUAUUGUUAAAAAUUGUAGUGAGAUAGAAUUGAACUCACAACCUCUUCUAACUUAAGAGUCUAUAAAAACAAUGGAUUAAGGUUAUUUCUUAUUGAGUAAUAUGAUAAUAAAUAUUAUUUAUUAUGUGCUCUUCUAUAAAUAUCGACACCAUUUACGAAAAUCAUACGUACGCCCCUACAUGUGGUAUGAAUACUAUUUCGGUAUUAGCUUAUAUCCACAUUCAAAUAGGAGAUAACUAUUCACAAAUUUUAUACACGGAUUAAUAUCUUUAUCGUGUUAACCAAACGACCCCUAAAUGUAUCGGUAUGAGUGUAUUGAGAAAAUUUGAGUUUACAUUUAAAGUGGAAUAAAGAUGACGUCUCAAGGACACGUAGACUGGUAAAAAAUAUACAACUGGCAAAGAGAUACGAGUUGCAACAGAUACGAGCAAAGACUGAGGAAGAGGCACGGUAGUUAUUCAAGUGACUCAGCGCCCGUACCUAUUUAAGUCCUUGAAGUCCGAGAAUCAAAGAAAAUGAGUCUGAUAAUAUAAAAGAAUACAGAUAUAGCAUUUAAUGUUGAAUACAUUAGGGAAUCUGUAUUAAUAUAAUGAUAAUGUAACGUAGCAUUCAAUGUCUUUAAUUACUCAUAAUAUCCUCAUUAUGGCAUAGGCAAAAUGUUUAAAAGGGAGAUAAUUGAUCUAUUGUGAGGACACGAAAUAAUAUCUGAAUAUACAUUGGUUUACUUGAUUCUAUUUAUCUUAACUCUAGCCAAAUUACUUUCUUUUAUACAUUCUUUCGAUUAUCAGUAACCAUAUUCUUCUAAAUUAUCGCUUUGACUAAAAUCUCUUUUUUUUUGUUAAACAAAUUGGUUUCGUUACCGCGAAUAUGAUAAUCUAUUCUCUUUUAACUUAACUUUCCUUGCUGCAUCCACCAUUUCGAACAACAAGGAAAACAUUCAAGGAAACCAAGAAAACUAAUAACUUCAGGGAGACCCACAUGAUAAUAACGCAAUGAUUACUUCUCCAUGAGGCUCUCCACGUCGAUCUCGUGAAGGCACUCCUAAUGGAUCUCAUAUAAAUGGACAGGCUCAAUUUUAAAAUGUUUAAGCUAUGGAUGAGGCUUUGCAAAAACUUAUUGCCUCAUAGGUAAAUAAAGCUCUUAAGGAUAUAUUAGCCAGUUUCUUGUUGCACCAUCCACACCUACUCCAAAUAAUAACACUUUGGAGAACCCUCAUUCCGGGCUUGUUAAUUCAGGUAGUGGUGGAACCCCAGCAAAUCAUAGGAAGAAAACCAGGUAACUUAGUUAAUUCUGAUUUGAAAAAUUCAGUAUUAACAUUUCAUAAACAGCUCAAGGAUCGAAGUUACCGCAUAGCGCAAAUACCCGAGGUACUGCCCCUAUUCAAAGGGGUAGAUAUGGAUAAAUAUUCACAACAACCCUGGAAGCUAAGUUUUGCUCCCAUCCCAAUUCCAAAGAAAUUCAAAAUGCCUGAUAUUCCAAAAUACGAUAGAACAAUAGACCCACAUGAUUACAUGACUGCAUUCACGACAAGCAUAAAAGGCAAUGAUUUGACCAAGCAGGAGAUUGAAUCAGUAUUGUCAAAAACUUUGGAGAAACACUCAUCAAGUGUGCAUUAACAUGGUAUUCUCUUUUACCCAAAAAUUCUAUAAAUUCUUUUGAUGAGCUUGCAUAUUCUUUCAUCAAAGCAUACUCAGGAGUUCAAAAAUUCGAUAAAAAGGAUGGAAGACAUUUUAAAUAUCAAGCAAGGGGACUCAAAAUUACUCAGGGAGUUCGUAGAUAGAUUCAAACGUGAAAGAACAAUCUUGCCCCGUGUACUUAAUAAUUGGGCCGCUAUAGAUUUCACAAGUAAUUUGAGAGAAAAAAGGUCAGAAGCUACAAGGCGAAUCAAGGAAAGCCUUCAUUAAUUCCCAGCUAUAACAUGGAAUAACAUUUACAACAGGUAUAGUACGAAGUUGAGAAUAGAAGAAGAUAUAGUUCCUCGAUUUCAAAAAAAGGAAAAAGGGUAGUGCGAGAAGGGCGAAAACCGAAAAGAGGUCCGGUAAAAAUAGGUACGAGCCAUACAUGGGAUUUGUGGGAAAAGACUCAUGGUCAAAAUAGGACUAUCAAAGGUAUAAUCCCAGAUCAAUGAAUAGAGAGUUAGGAUCUUCAUCAAGAUUUGGGAAUGAUCGAAACACCCAUGAGUCACGAGAUGAUGAUAGAAAUUUAAAGGCGAGACUUGGCGGUUACAAUUUCAAUGUAAGCACUUCCGAACUCGUAGCUACUUUAAGAAACAUGGGUAACAAGGUAUGAUGACCAAAAGAGAUGAGAUCGAAUCCAAUCAGAGGCAACUCUGACCAUUGGUGCGAGUUUCAUAAUGAUAACGGGAACAAGAUGGCAGAAUGCAUGUUUUUAUAAAGUGAAGUUCAUCAUCUAUUAAAACAGGGGUACCCCACCGAGUUAUUCAGUGAGAAAGGUAAACAAGCUUAUAUGAAGAAUAGGAGGAGCCUCCAAAAUCACCUUCACCCAAAAAGACCGUCAAUGUCGUAAGCGGAGGGGAAGAUAUCAACGGUGUGACAUACACGACAUCCAAUAAAGUUUCUAAGGUCACCAUUACCCACAUAAAGCGGGUGCGACAUGUCUUAGAAGAAGAAAGUAUUACCUUCGAUGAUGCAGAUGCGGGUGGCGUAUUAUCUCCACAUAACGAUGUACCGGUAAUUACUCUACUUGUACAUGAUACUAAUGUACAACGAGUUUUGAUUGAUCCAGGAAGUUCUGUAAAUAUUAUCCUACUAAGGGUACACUACGUGAAAUGCAAGCUAAUGAUAAUUUAGUACCAAAGGCGCAUACUCUGUCCGAAUUUGACAAUUCCAGCAUCGUAACAAAAGGAGAGGCAAUACUUACUACUUUCGCAGAAGGUGUUAUCAAAGAUACUAAGUUUCAGGUAGUAGAUAUUGAGAUGUCCUAUAAUAUGAUCCUUGGGAAACCAUGGAUUCACGAGAUGGAUGUUGUUCCAUCAACCUUACAUCAUGUUAUUAAACUCCAAUCACCAUGGGGAAUAUGUCAAAUCCGUGGGGAUCAACAUACAUUUAGAAGCAUCAAUUUUGUAGCAUAUUCAAGUCCAAGAAACAAAGUAAUAUUGCAACUGCAGAAUCCAAUUGAGGAAAUCACAACAUAAACCUCCAAUUGACAAGAGCAUAUGGAUGUGGACUCAAGGCCAGAUACCAUUCAAGAGCCAGAGGGAAAUGAAAAUACCAAAUUAACGAUUGAAGAAUUAGAAGUCGUAGUAUUAUUCGAACAAUGGCCUGAAAGGAAAGUUUAUGUGGGAGCCAAUCUGAGCCCAGAUAUGAAAAUUAUGUUAAUUGGAUUCUUAAAAGCUAGCGUGGAUUGUUUUUCUUGGUCCCACUCUGAUAUGACAGGAAUACCACCGGAGGUAAUGACUGACAAGUUAAACGAAGACCCAUUUUAUUCUCAUAUCAAACAAAAGAAGAGAAAGCAAGGAACUUUCCAAAAUCAAGUGAUUCAAGAUGAGGUUCAAAAAUUACUAAAUAUUGGGUCUAUCCGCGAGGUAAAGUAUCAUAAUUAGUUAGCUAAUACUGUUGUCGUACCAAAAGAAUGGUAAGUGGCGAGUUUGUGUAGAAUACACAGAUCUUAAUAAAGCAUGUCCUAAAGAUUCUUUUUCAUUACCACAUAUAGAUCAACUAAUUGAUGCUACUGCAGGGCAUGUGCUAAUAAGUUUUUUAGAUGCAUAUUCAGGGUACAAUUAGAUCAAAAUGGAUCCAGUGGAUGAUGAAAAAACUUCAUUCAUACCAAGCAGGGGGACUUACUUUUAUAAAGUAAUGCCAUUUGGUCUGAAAAAUGCCGGUGCAACAUAUCAAAGGUUGGUCACUAAAAUGUUUCAAGAAUAUUUGGGAAAAAACAUAGAGGCUUAUAUAGAUGAUAUGCUAAUUAAAACUUAGCAUUCAAGGUAUCAUAUAUCUCAUUUAUCUGAUACAUUUCAAAUUCUGUGCAAAUUUAACAUGAAGUUAAAUCCCGAGAAAUGUGCAUUUGGCGUCGCAUCAAGUAAGUUUUUAGGUUUUCUUGUUUCUAACCAUGGUAUUGAAAUGAAUCCCGCACAGAUUAAGGCCAUUGAAGAAAUCCCUGACAUGAUUUCAAGCAAAAAAAAAGUUCAGAGAUUAACAGGAAGAAUUGCAGCCUUGGGAAGAUUCAUUUCUAAAUGAAAUCCCUGACAUGGUUUCAAGCAAAAAAAAAAGUUCAGAGAUUAACAGGAAGAAUUACAGCCUUGGGAAAAUUCAUUUCUAAAUCAUCGUAAAAGUGCUGUAAAUUCUUCUCAGCUCUAAAAGAGCAAGAUUAUUUUGAAUGGAAUGAGGAAUGUUAGCAGGCACUUAGAAAUUUAAAAACAUACUUAUCAAAUACAUCGUUGCUCGCAAAACGAAAGGUUGGGGAAAGAUUGCUUAUUUACCUUGUUGUUUCAGCAGUAGCGGUAAGUGUUGUUUUAGUCCGACAAGAACAAAGUAAACAAUACCCCAUCUAUUAUGUUAGAAAAUCUUUGUUAGAUGUAGAGACAUGGUAUCCGCAAUUGGAAAAACUUGCAUUUGCAUUAAUCAUGGCAUCUAGGAAGUUAAGACCUUAUUUUCAAUGUCAUCCUAUUGUUGUAGUAACUUGUUAGCCAUUACACAAUAUAUUAUAUAAGCAUGAGUUUUCGGGUAGGUUAGCUAAAUGGGCUAUAGAAUUAAGUGAAUAUGAUAUUAUAUACCGUACCUAUUACGUAAUAUAUUACAUAAGCAUGAAUUGUCAGGAAAGUUAUCUAAGAGGGGUAUUGAAUUGAGUGAAUAUUAUAUCACUUACCAACCUAGAACCGCUAUAAAAUUUCAGGUAUUAGCUGAUUUCGUGGCUGAUUUAAGCCAAGGGAUGCAAUUAGAAGCAAAAAAAGAGUUGCAGGUGUUCAAUGGAGCUAACCCAGGGACAUAGACCUUAUUCACUAAUGGUUCAUCCAAUGUAAAAGUUGCACGUUUAGGGAUCGUUUUGGUACCACCUAUGGGUGAAACCAUUCGAAGCUAUCAAAUGUCAUUCAAUAAUUAACACUGAGGCAGAAUAUGAGGUUGUGAUUGCAGGUUUAGAGCUGGCACAAGAACUCGGCAUAAAUUAGAUUGUAAUCAAAAGCUAUUCACAACUCGUGGUUAAUUAAAUGUUGGGGAGUUAUGCAGCCGAAGAGGCGAGGAUACAUCAGUAUUUAGAAAAGGUACGGGAAUUGAUAAUGCAAUUUAAAACCUAGAAAGUUGCACAAAUACCAAGGGAUGAAAAUGUUUAAGCAGACGCUCUAGCUAAUCUCGCAUAUGUAGCUGACAUGGAAAACGAUGCAAACACUUCAGUUAUUCAUUUAUUUUAUUCAGUCCUUGACCCCGAUAAGAAUGAGGUAAGUUUUAAUAACUUAACUUGGGAUUAGAGGAACGAGAUUGUUGUUUUUUUGCAGUAUGGUACCGUCCCUGACGAUAAAAAAAGCACAUGCACUUCAAAAAAAGGAUGCUCGGUACUUCUUAAAACAAAAAAAUCUUUAUCAUAAAAUGAUCGGUGGUCCCUUAGUAAGAUGCCUUGGACCUUCUCAAAUAGAGUAGGUAAUGAGACAAAUACACAAAGGACAUUGUGGAAAUCAUGCAGGUGGAAGAUUCCCGGUAAGAACCUUAAUUAGGACAGGUUAUAAUUGGCCUAAAAUAGAAUAGAAAGCAGAAAUUUUCGUGUCUAAAUGUGACAAAUGCCAAAGGUAUGGUAACAAUAUGCAUUGACCUGUGGAGUUAAUACAUCUAGUCAUUUCACUGUGUCCAUUUAUGAAAUGGGAAAUGGAUAUCGUGUGUCCAUUACCACAAGCAAAAGGACAUGUAAAGUUUUUGCACGUACUCAUUGAUUAUUUUACUAAAUGGGUAGCGGCAAGAGCAUUUAAAUGGCUGCGAGAAAAGGAAGUCAAAGAAUAUAUUUGGCGGAAUAUUAUAUGCUAAUUCGGUGUACCAAAGGAGAUCGUAUGUGAUAAUGGCCUUCAGUUUAUAGGAGCUCAAAUCACGGAAUUCUUUCAAAGUUGGCAGAUUAAAAGGAUUACGUCUACACCUUAUCAUCCAAUGGGUAGUGGGCAAGAAGAAUCACUAAACAAGGUCAUUAUCAACAAUUUAAAGAAUCGCUUAGAGGAAUCAAAUGUAACUGGCCUGAAGUGUUGCCUGGAGUUUCAUGGGCAUAUCGCACAACAGCAAAAAUGAGUAUAGGAGAAACACCAUUUUCAUCGGUUUAUGGAGCUGAGGCUUUAAUUCUAGUUGAUAUAGGAUAACCGAGUACACGGUUCAAACAUGCGAUAGAAAAAUAUAAUGACGAGGAGAUGUAGGUCUACCUUUAUUUAUUCGAAGGAAGGAGAGAAGUUGCACUAAUAAGAAUGGCAGCACAAAAACAAUUCAUAGAACGAUAAUACCACCGAAAAGCACGCCUCAAAUUCUUCAAACUUGGGAACUUCGUGAUCAAAAGGUUAUUCAAUCUAGAAAGACAGCGAACGCGGGUAAAUUAAGCCCAACAUGGGAAGGACCCUAUAGAGUUCGUGAUAUUGAAGGAAUAAGAGCAUAUGAACUGGAGACAAUAGAUGGAAAGAUACUACCUUCACAUUGGAAUGUUGUUCAUCUGAAGAGAUACUAUUUCUAAGGAAUACCCACGGUCAGGUAUCCAUGUUUUAAAUUUAAUUUUUGGAUUGAAUUGUUAAUAUUUUACUAACAAUUUUAGAUGAAGGCAAAAAGUUAACCCGUACUAAAUGAUGAGUUACGACUUGUAAGGCACACAGAAUAAACUAAAAUUUCUAGCCUAGGGUUACAAUUAUUCUGAUAGAAAUACAAACAGGUGAGCAGUCUUCAUCAAUAAUUGCACCUCCGAGUCCCGUGAAGUUUUCAUUUUCAAGAAAAGGACCAAAUGAGAAGAACAAUCAAGUGUUCGAGUCUUCAUACUUCAACGCUCAAACACUUGGGGGACUACAUAAUAUACACAUGCAUGUGUAUAAAGAAGGCAAAGAAGAUUGAGAAAAAUCAAAGAUCAAACCUGAAAAACUCAAGUGCACAGAAAAAAUCACGAAGUCACGAGCUAUGACAAAUAAAAGCCUUACUAUAGUUAGGGUAAAGGCUAUGUAGUGAAAUGGGUCAUAAGGAAAAACCUCCUAUUUAUUAUAUGUACUAAAAUGGGUUAUGAGGAAAAACCUUGUGUAUACUAUUCUUCUUUUCUAAAAUUUGUUACAAGAAAAACAGUGAAGAGAAAGUUAUAGAUGUAAUUUAAAUACAUGUAAAGUAUUAUUCAAAACUAGACAAGGUUCAAAGAAACAUGUGUGUUCCUAUUUCUUUUAUCGUAUGUUAAUACCAUUAUGAAGUUGAGACGUCUUCUUCAUUAAGUGUCGAAAUAUAAAAGGUCCUCUUUUAAAAACUUAUAUUUAAAUUAAUUAGUCAUGAGGAUAAUAGAAGUCCUCUUUUAAAAACUCAUAUUUAAAUUAAUUAGUCAUGAGGAUAAUAGAAGCAUUUUUGAAGGUAAAAAUGCAAAUUAUUCUGUAAUUCCUUAAGAAUAAAGACAAGAAUAAAAUAAACAUAAGUUCAAGAUAAUAACAUGAAAACUUCUUAAUAGUUACAAACUUAAGACUAUGUAUGAACUUAGUCGAAAAACUAUGAAUUGUUUAUACAGAUUGCCCCAUGAAAAGACUUGGGGACUUGCCUUUCCAAAAUCAACCAUCAAAUGAAGCCUAGUGUUUAAGAUUGCCCCAUGAAAAGACGUGGGAUUUGCCUUUCAAAAAUCAACCAUCAAAUGAAGCCUAGUGUUUGAUUACAAUUUUCCAAAUAAAAAAACAAAGUCAUUCAAAUAACUAAGGUAGGUCACUGAGAAGUAGGAGGAACUGAAACAAGAGCAUCAAUAGCAACGGGCUCAGUUUGGGCAGGUGCAUCAACAGUUGCGGCUCAACGUGGCUUGCAACAACAUGAUCGACUAGGCUUGAAAGAAUUGGGAUUCUGGAAUCGACUUCAAAGUUCAUAGAAGCUUCAGCCACGGGAGAAGGAAACUCUUGAUUUUGCUGAACUUUCUCAAUGGUUUCAAUUAUCUUAGCCAACUCAGAUUCCAAGUUGAAGUUUUCUUGGCUAGCUUCGUUUAUGGUAUCACAGCGUGAAUUCAAAUAUUCCCAACUCACCUCAAUGGCACAUUUAUCUUCAAGAGGCUCAUAAUCCCCUUUCCCAUUCAGAAAUCUCAUUCCUUAGCUUCUCAAUUUUAGCCAAGGCGGAGUUGUAAGAAGUUUGAAGAGAGGCAUGGAAGCUUUUUAAAGCAUGCACCUUAUGAGAAGAGACUCGAAGGUCUUCUUGUGCUUGAGUUAAAUUUUGCACAAGAUCCCCAGCGUAAGUUUCUUUUUUUCUCAAGAGAGCCUUCAACUCUGUUUUUUUCACUGGACUUGGAUAGUUGUUCUGAGAAGGAAGAUUCAAGACGCUCUUUUUUCUUUUUCUGGCUGGCUUGAGAAAUCUUUUGCAACUGCUAACUCUGAGGUUAAAUCCCGCACAUGUUGUUCCAAGGUACUCGUGCUCUCUUCUAAGAACUCCACAUCAAUUUGUAAACUCUCAAACUGUUCCUUCCAGUUGCACGCCUCUAAUUGAGAAUCACGUGCUAAUUGCUGCAAGAGGGGGAUUUUUUUCAUCAUUUCUGUGCCCUAUAAGAUUGGCCUAAAAAAAAGAGGAAGGAAAAUAAGAAUCCCAAAGAUAGGGAAAUUACAAAGAAAAAAAAAGAGAAGGUGAAUACCUUCUAAGUGCAUGCAGAAUAUCAUUCAUCAGAGUCAGGGAGCUAUGGCUCUCCAACUUGGCUUUUUCAAUUGGGCUAACUAAAGGCUCUAGCAAAACAUCCACCUGACCUGACUUACUCAAAAGACUGCUCUCAACAGGAACUUCAAUGACAACCUUCUUCAUAGAAGCACUUCUACUAGAAGAACCCACUUCAGUAUGAUGAAUUAUUGGAGGAGGAAUAGUGAAAGAAGGAGCAGUAGAAGAGGUAAAAACAGUAGAGGAAGGAACAAAAAAAGCUAGGGUUGGCAAGGAAGGAAUCGCAUGCACGAGUGUUGAAAAGAAAAAGAAGCUAAUAGUGUUUCGUGUAAAAUAGACCCUAAACCUCCACUACCAAAGCCACUUAUAAAAAGUUGUUUAAUGGACUCACGAGUAUCAGUGGGAGUGACAUCAUCAUCAGGAGUUAUUACCAGGGCUUCUAUAGGCUCGGUGAGAGGAAUGGAAAGAUGGGGAGACGCUUCAGCUUCAUCAUCAGAAAUGAUACGUCUUCGAGCCCGCGAACUUGUAACCAAAGAGCCCCAAUCUUCUUUUUCUUCUUCAGAAUCUUUUUCUUCAAUAGCUUUUCUAUUUGGUGAAGUGCCCAAGACUAUUUCUUGAGCCCUUUCUAAAGAGAUAUAGGUUCUUGAAGAGAUGCGGGAAGCCGAAACUACCUAGGCAAUAACUCCCCGAAUAGCAAAUUCUUAUAAAAAGAAGGAAUGAAGUUAGAACAAUAAAAAUAUAUAUACAUGAAAGAUGAAACAAAAUAAAAAUUAUUACAAUGAGUUUUUACUUUCCAACCAAAAUGGUUAGAAAGUGACUUCCAAGACCUACCAUUGGUGCGGUCUUCAACAGCUUGUCUACCCAAUCACGGAAAUUGGGAACAUCCUCCACAACUCCCAUGGUUGCUAAAAAAAUGUGAGAAAUGUUGAUAAACUUGAAGAAAAAGGCACAAGAAGGAUACAAGACUUACGUGCAAAAUUCCACUUCUCAGGAAAGGGAACGUUAUCCUUUCCCACUAAACCUACAAUGGGGGGCAACAACAAACCGGGCAUGCCAGCCACAGUCUUUAUCAUCCUCAAGGCUCACUAAAACCCUCUUACUCCUGGCUACUAGUGUAAUAACACCAUUGCCAAAGACCCUAGGGGAGUAAAGAUGAAUCAAGUGAGGAAAACUAAAGAAAACACCGGCUGUAUUGGUCAAAUGCCUCAAACAUGCAACAUCCCUCCAUAUGAUUGGGCCAAUUUGAGCCCAACUGACGUUGAAGAAACAAAAAAAAUUCAAGAAUGCCUGGGUCAAUAGCUGGUAUAAACCCUAAGGUGAAAGAGUAUGUAUAAAAAAAAGAAACCACAGUUAAGUAAGAGGUGAUUCUUUGAUUUGGAUUAGGGAUAAUAAUAAGAAAUCACUAUUUCAAUGGUAGUCUUUAUGAACUAUAGAAAUCAAACCUUCAGUUUUUUGAGUGGGAUAGACAUCAUCACGAUCAAAGGAAGACACUUGAUUCCGAAAAGACUCUCUUUGAUGAUAAAAAGACAGUUAUGAAGGACUAUCUCUUCUACUAAAAGUUCAUGUAAUGGUUUAAAAGGUUCUUUACCCCUAGAAGAAGAUUUUUGAGAAAGAGAACCCAUGUUUCUAGAAGAGGGACCAGAACUAGGACAGGGCAUAGAAGAACAACCACCAGCAGGCCCAAAACUACGAAGCGUACCUCCCCUUCUACUCCUAAUGGGGGCAUUAGGAAAAGUAUCAACUAUGGAAACUCUCCUAGGGUUAGGGUUUGAUGAAUACAUAGCGAAGAAGGAUGAUACGAGGAAGAAAUAAGGAAAGAAGUCACCACGAGCAGGCCCUAAACUAUGUAGCGUACCUCCCCUUCUACUCCUAAUGGGGGAAUUAGGAAAAGUAUCAACUAUGGAAACUCUCCUAGGUUAGGGUUUGAUGAAGACAUAGUGAAGAAGGAUGAUACGAGGAAGAAACAAGGAAAGAAGUUAUAUUUAUAUUGGUAAACAACCGCCAAAAGAAAAAAAGGCAAUGAUGGAGGGGACAUAAUAAUGAAAACUGAUGCUUCGUGUACAGUGGAGCCGUAAAAAACUUUAAAAGGGGCUGCAAAACUGCAGAACCAAUGUGAAAGUGACACAUGUGAAUAGCAUUAAAUAGAAGUGACAAUUGAAGUGUUUAUUCAGUCAUAGCAUUAAUUGUGACAAAAAUUCUUGCUUUAAUAAAAUCCACUUUUCAAGUAUUCCACUGAUGAAUAAAUAGUAAGUGGGAGGACUAUCUGUAUUGGGAAAAUUUGAGUUUGCAUAAUAAAGUGGAAUAAAGAUGACGUGUCAAAGACACGUCGAGUGGUCAAAAUAUUACAAUUGGCAAAGAGAUACGAGCAAAGACUGAGGAAGAGGCAAGGGCAGUUAUUCAAAUGACUCAGCGCCCGUACCUAUUUAAGUCCUUGAAGUCCUAGAAUCAAAGGGAAUACAAAAGAGUACAGAUACAACAUUUAAUGCCGAAUACGUUAGGGAAUCUAUAUUAAAUAUAAUGAUUAUGUAACGUAGUAUUCAAUGUCUUUAAUUACCCAUAAUAUCCUCAUUAUGGCAUAGGCAAAAUGCCUAUCUCCAAGGUAUCUAUAAAAGGGAGAUAAUUGAUCAACUGUGAGGACACGAAAUACUAUCUGAAUAUACUUUGAUUUACUUGUUUCUGAUUAUCUUACUUCUAGCCAAAUUACUUUUCUAUAUAUAUUCUUUCGAUUAUCAGUAACCCGUAUUCUUCUAAAUUAUAGCUUUGACUAAAAUUUUAUUUUUUUGGUUAAACAAUGAGAAUAACGUACAACAUGGAAUUGGACUAGGCACUCGUAAAACGGUUUGGGCCAGAUGUGGGAAAGUCUUGUCUCUUAAAAUUUGCGCUUCAAGCGCCCACCCAUAAAAGGGCAUCCAAGCCCAUCACAUAAGGCUCGUCCAAUUGAUUUUGUGCAAUCGAGUGUAAUUAGUUAUGUAAAUCCAUAAAUUCCUUAAAUCAUAAGUGAGAACAUUGCAAGCUUUGUCUUGUCUUUAAAACAUUAGGGGGGUAAAGUUAACCUAUACCUAUAUUGGUGGAAGAAAGCAGACGCAGUCCAUUUUUUGUUAAACUUACCCAAACAACCAUUUAUUAUCGCGAGAGAGAACUUCAAAUAAUAGUAAGAAAAUGUUUCUUGAUUCAUUUACUUCACCUGAGGUACAUAUCACAUUAUGUUUCCAAGAUUGUUUUUUUUUUCUUUUGAUGUUGGAUUGUUGAUGUUCCAUAUCUAUGCUAAUGUUUUCACAAUUAUAUUUAUUUAAUUAGAGUUUUAAAAGAUUAUUGUGUUUUUAGCAAUUUAUUUUUAACUAUCCUACUAUUUGUAGAUUUAUAAAUUAGUUAAAUUUAAAGAUUUAUGGGGCUUGCACACCAUGUCUGGAGCUACACUUCGCCUUGGGCGUCCAUCCUUCAAUACACUACGUCAAACCUUAAAGCGUUAACUUUUGCCAUUUUUGUGCUUUUCAAUUUUUAUUUAGAGCUUACACUUCGUCUUGGGCGUCCAUCCUUCAAUACACUACGUCAAACCUUAAAGCGUUAACUUUUGUCAUUUUUGUGCUUUUCAAUUUUUAUUUAAAUCUUUUCAACUAAGUUUGAAUAGAUGUUCAGGAGGUGUACUUAUGGACUAACGAAUGACUUCAGUCUAUUAAAGUACGCAGUAUUAGACAAAGAAGACGACACAAUUAAGAAAAGUAGAAUGCAAAGAAUCUCGAUAUAAUAAUGAGCAGAAUUGAUGGAGAUCUCAAGGAUGUUACUUAAAUUAAACAAUAAAUAAUACAGAUUAUUAAAACAAAAGAACAUUGAACACAUAAUAAGCAAACCCGAUCAUUUCGAGAAGCAUAUAUCAAAUUUUGGCUGAGGAAAUGGAGUUUGCCAAAAAAGGCCAAAAAGGAAUAAAAAUCAUGGAAUUAAAUGGCGAAAAUGACUGAAUAGUUAAAAUUAGUAGUAGGUCGGAGGAGGAGAUGCUGAUGGGGGUGGAGGUGAAGCAUAGGUGGUGGAUUGCUCGUACUUCUGAGGCGGUGCUGGUGACACAUAGGUAGGAGUUUGCUUGAAAUAGUUUGUUGGUGGUGGAGGUGAGUAAUAAGAUGGUGAUUUUUCAUAGGUCUUUGGUAGAGAUGGCAAGUUGUAACUUAUAGGUGGUUGCUCGUAGUAUUUUGGUGGAGGUGGAGGAGAUUUAUAAAAAGGUGUAGAUUCUUUAUAGUAUGGUGGAGGUGGAGAUUUGUAAGAAGAUGGUGACUGCUCAUAGUAUGUUGGAGGAGGUGGGGGUGACUUAUAGUACGAGGGUGAUUUCUCAUAAUAAGUUGGCGGUGGUGGAGAUUUAUAGUAAACUGGGGACUUGUAAUUUUUUUUUGGUGCCGGUGACUUAUAAUAUUUAGAAGGAGCAGGCGAUUUAUAGUAUUUUGUUGCGGCUGGUGACUUGUAGAACUUUGCAGGUGAUAGCGCUUUGUAGUACUUUUCAGGUGAUGGUGACUUGUAGUAGUUCAAUGAAGGAGCUGGUGACUUGUAGUAUUU
RNAcentral lists this long non-coding RNA (32633 nucleotides) under Nicotiana benthamiana. Its description in RNAcentral is "long non-coding RNA (NBEN_LNC037199)". Lineage: Eukaryota; Viridiplantae; Streptophyta; Magnoliopsida; Solanales; Solanaceae. The record is from RNAcentral.